GCCGGGAUGGCGAAAUUGGUAUACGCAACGGACUUAAAAUCCGUUGGCCGCAAGGCCGUGCGGGUUCGAGUCCCGCUCCCGGUA
This 84-nucleotide transfer RNA is filed under the name Bacteroidota bacterium. Its description in RNAcentral is "Bacteroidetes bacterium tRNA-Leu". It matches the Rfam family "tRNA". From Rfam's summary of the family: Transfer RNA (tRNA) molecules are approximately 80 nucleotides in length. Lineage: Bacteria; Pseudomonadati; Bacteroidota. The record is from RNAcentral.